This 433-nucleotide ribosomal RNA is filed under the name uncultured bacterium. RNAcentral describes it as "partial 16S ribosomal RNA". It matches the Rfam family "Bacterial small subunit ribosomal RNA", at positions 29 to 507 of the family's 1533-position model. The record is from RNAcentral.
AACGAACGCUGGCGGCAUGCCUAACACAUGCAAGUCGAACGAGACCUUCGGGAGUAGUGGCGCACGGGUGCGUAAGGCGUGGGAACCUGCACUUAGGUUUGGAAUAACUCCACGAAAGGGGUGAUAAUUCGGGAUAAUGUCUUAGGACCAAAGAUUUAUCGCCUUUGGAUGGGCCCGCGUUGGAUUAGCUAGUUGGUAGGGUAAAAGCCUACUAAGGCGCCGAUCCAUAGCUGGUCUGAGAGGAUGAUCAGCCACACUGAGACUGAGACACGGCCCAGACUCCUACGGGAUGCAGCAGUGGCGAAUAUUGGACAGUGGGCGAAAGCCUGAUCCAGCUAUGCCGCGUGAGUGAUGAAGGCCUUAGGGUUGUAAAGCUCUUUUACCCGGGAUGAUAAUGACAGUACCUGGUGAGUAAGCCCCGGCUAACUCCGUG